This 2430-nucleotide long non-coding RNA is filed under the name Paramuricea clavata. Lineage: Eukaryota; Metazoa; Cnidaria; Anthozoa; Malacalcyonacea; Plexauridae. The record is from RNAcentral.
AUUAGAUUUGGAACAAGAUCUGACAAGACCAGUCUCAACAAUACCCCACGGUUGUGGUGGAAUUUGAGGGAUUCCUGUUUGUUUAUUUCAAAUUUUUAAACUUAGCAUGGUGAAUAGAACUUUCAACGCAUUUGUUGUAAUAUUUACAGAGCAAGAGUGAAGGUUUAUUAAAGUGAUAUUUAAAUUUGCAACUCGUAUAUGCUUCCUGGAUCUUGUUUGCACGUGUGGUCUAAAGUCGCCUCGUGUGCAUUUUGCUUCGCUGUUGUUUUAAACGAGAGUUUCCUGUAGCGUUUAAAAGGUAAGUUCUUUGAUAUAAUUUUCUCAAAGAUGUGUUUUUAUCAUAUAAAUGAUUUAAACUUUAAGAGACAUAGUUUACAGUAUAAUAGUGUGCAUUUAUAAAUAUUAGUUUGUUGGUUGUAUGCCAUGCUCGCUAAUUUGGCACAGUUGAUAUAAACAUCAAUAUAUUUUCGUGUUUCUUUUCGGCUUUUGAAAUGCAGAAUAGAUUAGAGUAGCUGUCGUAUUUCUUUUGGGGAAAAUGUUUGUGUUUAAAGGCUCAAUUUAAGUGAAAUGCUUAAUCAAUUUGUCAAGUAUAAAUUUAUAAACAAGCAAAUUAUAUAUCAUAAACGAUGACCUUUUAUUAUUUUUAUCAAAUACCACCUGCAGUGUGAAAUGAUUGCUCAAUUGUUUGAAAAUAUAAUUGAUUAAUUGUUUUGUCUGUGAAUUAUUAACUUGGAGAUCUGUUGGGUGGCAGAAAUGGGGAGAAGAGAGGUUGUCUCGGACCAGACUGUUUUUUGUUGUGUGCACAGAAGAGUGUGCAAGGUCUUCAGUGUGCAACUUUUAUUUCAAAAGCUAAAUUAUUGGUACAUUCCUUGAUCUUCCCGCACACCUUUUUGAAAUAACACAGUCUUGACUUACUCACGACAUUACAUUUACACUGUGUUUGUGGCUUAUGGUAGACAUGGUGGUGUUUUGUGAAUAAAUGAAAGCACCAUACAUGAAAAAUAUUCUAAACAUAUCCAGUAAGCACUUUAUGAGUGGAUUGUUGAAUUUUUGAAAAGUCAGUAAUGACUGUUGACCAUGGUUAAAUUUUCCAGACUGUGAUAGCAUUGGUUUUCAUAAACCAGACUUUCUGAUAAAGAUGCACUGGUUGCUGAUGGUUGGUCCAGUGAAGACCAGCCCACAUUGGUCCAGUGUGGGUUACAGAGGAAACCAAUGAACUAAAGAAAAACUUUAGUGUAAUGAUUGUGGGAUAGCAGCUCUAAAUUGUUCAAUGUCAAGGUCUAGAUGGGCCGCUACCAUUUCAUCAGUGCUACUACAGGAGUAAACAAGUACCAGCAGUGUUUGGUAGACAAACUGGAAACUCUGUGUUCAUACAUGACUGAGGGGAAAUUAUAAUCAGAAAACUGUAUAUUGCAGCAAUCAAACCCUGGUCAAAGAGGUUAAACACACACACAAUACCCCCUAAUGUCCCCCUCCCUCCCCUUAUACCUCCUCCCUCCCUUUGUACUCCCUCCCUCCCUUUGUACCUCCUCCCUCCCUUUGUACCCCCUCCCUCCCUUUGUACCCCCUCCCUCCCUUUGUACCUCCUCCCUCCCUUUGUACCCCCUCCCUCCUCUUAUACCCUAACUGUUCAAAUUGGGGGGGGGGGAGGGUGAGUCAGCCCAACUGACCUAAUUUAUUACAGAUUAUAUUACAAAUGUCCAAAACAUCAGGGGUGCAUCCCCCCCCCCCAGGAUUGACACACUUGGCAGAGAGUUUUAUUGGUUUUAUAGAGAAUUUUGUGCAGUAAUAAGUUAACCACAAUAUUAACUUAUAUUAAACGUUUUAAUUAUUAAUAUUACCUUCUAAUUUAGUAAUUUCAGUUAAUUUGUAGUCCUGGCUGCAUAGACUAUGAAUCAAACUAUUUUUCCAUCUUAACAAAAGAACCAUUCAAACAUUAUUCUGUUGUGUUUGCUCUUAUUUAACUCUUUCAACAUUCUUACUAGACGAAGGUGCGUUGCCACGAAUCUAAGCAGUUUAAUAUUCAAUUCAAACGUACACUAAAGCCAGUAUCGUUUUAAAGAGAGGCAAGGGCAAUUUGCAUUAAUUACACCGACAAGUGUGAAGUUAUUAGUAUUACCAUACAACGUGUGCAUUCUUAAAGAUUAAAAACGAUUUUGCCACCUUGUUUUCGUGGUAACAAGUAAAGCGUCGUGGCGAAAGUGUUAAUUAAUUUUGGUUUAAGUGGAAAAGCAAGAUCCGUCUAUAAAUGAAUCAGAAUUUCUGGGGUUUUAUACCACGAGUCAUGACAGCUCGAGAUUGUGGUCGUAAUAUACCUACUUGUAUAUAUUUGUAGUUCUGAUUACAACAUUACUGAGGAUUAUUGCUUAUUGUAUUGAAAAUGUGGAAAAUUCACCGUGGACUAUAAAAAUUGGGAAGACUUAAUAGCAG